AUUGAACGCUGGCGGCAUGCCUUACACAUGCAAGUCGAACGGCAGCACGGGGGCAACCUGGUGGCGAGUGGCGAACAGGUGAGUAAUGCAUCGGAACGUGCCAUUGAGUGGGGGAUAACGUAGCGAAAGUUGCGCUAAUACCGCAUAUUCUGUGAGCAGGAAAGCAGGGGACCGCAAGGCCUUGCGCUCUUUGAGCGGCCGAUGUCAGAUUAGCUAGUUGGUGAGGUAACGGCUUACCAAGGCGACGAUCUGUAGCGGGUCUGAGAGGAUGAUCCGCCACACUGGAACUGAGACACGGUCCAGACUCCUACGGGAGGCAGCAGUGGGGAAUUUUGGACAAUGGGCGCAAGCCUGAUCCAGCCAUGCCGCGUGAGUGAAGAAGGCC
Molecule: ribosomal RNA, 385 nt
Filed under: uncultured bacterium
Lineage: Bacteria
Description: bacterial SSU rRNA
Rfam family: Bacterial small subunit ribosomal RNA
Source: RNAcentral